AAAGUAUAUUGAUGUUCUGAGAACUUCUCUGUUUAGUGAGGCUGAUAGUAUUUCCACAAAUCCAUUUACAAUUGUUGGUUUGGAUAAAUAUGAAUGAACCCCAGGGUCACCCUUUGAGUCCUUCCAUAAUUUUGCUAUUGCUAAAACUGCUGCUUCGCAUUCUCGUAAGUUUUCUGAAGUGCAGAGACAUGAAAUAUGUGGUUUUAACCCAUUGAUUAUUGUUUCAAUAGUGGCUUGGGAAAUUACACUGGUUGGUGAUGUAGACACUGCCGAUUGUACAAAUCUUUUG
Molecule: unclassified non-coding RNA, 289 nt
Filed under: Hevea brasiliensis (rubber tree)
Lineage: Eukaryota; Viridiplantae; Streptophyta; Magnoliopsida; Malpighiales; Euphorbiaceae
Source: RNAcentral